This is an RNA transcript of Octodon degus (degu), 2698 nucleotides long. It is a transcript of the gene named alanine--tRNA ligase, cytoplasmic pseudogene, with no coding region annotated. The transcript has a single exon. NCBI's taxonomy places the organism in Eukaryota, Metazoa, Chordata, Mammalia, Rodentia, Octodontidae. The record is from RefSeq and is a predicted model, not a curated record.
UAAAGGAGGAGUUAGGGACGGAGGUCUCCCAGGAGGCGGACGUUUCUUGAGACCCCUGCUGGUCCGGGAGAGCGGCUGGGACUUGCGUUAGUUCUCAGGGGUGACUUUCAAGAUGAACUCAACUCUAACAGCAAGUGUAAUCCGGGAACAGUUUAUAGAUUUCUUCAAAAGAAAUGAGCAUACCUAUGUUCACUCAUCUGCCACCAUCCCAUUGGAUGACCCUACUUUGCUCUUUGCCAAUGCAGGCAUGAAUCAGUUCAAACCCAUCUUCCUGAACACCAUCGACCCAUCUCACCCUUUGGCAAAGCUGAGCAGAGCUGCCAAUACGCAGAAAUGCAUCCGGGCUGGGGGCAAGCACAAUGACCUAGAUGACGUGGGCAAAGAUGUUUAUCACCACACUUUCUUUGAGAUGCUGGGCUCCUGGUCUUUUGGCAAUUACUUCAAGGAAUUAGCAUGUAAGAUGGCUCUGGAACUUCUCACUCAAGAGUUUGGCAUUCCAGUUGACAGACUCUAUGUUACUUACUUUGGAGGGGAUGAAGCAGCUGGCUUAGAACCAGAUCUGGAAUGUAAACAUCUGGCAAAAUUUGGGGCUGGAUGACACCAAAAUCCUCCCUGGCAACAUGAAGGAUAACUUCUGGGAGAUGGGUGACACAGGCCCAUGUGGUCCCUGCAGCGAGAUUCACUAUGACUGGAUUGGUGACCGAGAUGCUGCACACCUUGUCAACCAGGACGAUCCCAAUGUGCUCGAGAUCUGGAACCUUGUGUUCAUCCAGUAUAACAGGGAGACGGAUGGCACUUUGAAACCUCUUCCCAAGAAAAGCAUUGACACGAGGAUGGGGCUGGAGUGACUGGUGUCUGUGCUACAGAAUAAGAUGUCCAACUAUGACACUGACCUCUUUGUUCCCUACUUUGAAGCCACACAGAAGGGCACAGGCGCCCGUCCCUAUACUGGGAAGGUUGGGGCUGAGGAUGCUGAUGGGAUUGACAUGGCCUACAGAGUGCUGGCUGACCACGCUCAGACCAUCACUGUGGCCCUGGCUGACGGUGGCCGGCAUGACAACACAGGGCGAGGGUAUGUGUUGCGACGGAUUCUCCGCCGGGCUGUCCGAUACUCCCACGAGAAACUCAACGCCAGCAGGGGUUUCUUUGCCACAUUAGUCGACGUUGUUGUGCAGUCCCUGGGAGACGCAUUUCCUGAGCUAAAGAAAGACCCAGACAUGGCGAAGGACAUUAUUAAUGAAGAAGUGCAGUUUCUCAAGACUCAGCAGAGGACGUCGCAUCCUGGACCAGAAAAUUCAGAGCCUGGGAGACUGCAGGACCAUUCCAAGUGACACUGCUUGGUUACUCUAUGACACCUAUGGGUUCCCAGUGGAUCUCACUGGACUCAUUGCUGAAGAGAAGGGCCUGGUGGUAGACAUGGAUGGCUUUGAAGAGGAGCGGAAGCUGGCCCAGCUGAAGUCUCAGGGCAAGGGCGCAGGCAGGGAAGAUCACAUUAUGCUGGAUAUCUACGCUAUCGAAGAGCUGCGGGCACAGGGCCUAGAGGCCACGGAUGACUCCGAAGUAUAGCUACCACUCAGACUCCAGCGGUGGCUACGUGUUUGAGAGUGCAGUGGCCACAGUGCAGGCUCUGCGGAGAGAGAUGUUCGUGGAAGAGGUGUCCACGGGUCAGGAGUGUGGAGUGGUGCUGGACAAGACUUGUUUCUAUGCUGAGCAAGGGGGGCAGAUCUACGAUGAAGGCUACCUGGUGAAGGUGGACGACAGCAGCGAGGACAAAACUGAGUUCACAGUGAAGAACACUCAGGUGCAAGGAGGGUAUGUGCUACACAUAGGCACCAUCUAUGGCAGCCUGAAAGUGGGCGAUCAGGUCCGGCUGUUCAUUGAUGAGCCCCGGCAGAGACCCAUCAUGAGCAACCACACAGCCACCCACAUUCUCAACUUUGCCCUGCGCUCAGUGCUUGGGGAGGCGGAUCAGAAAGGCUCACUGGUCGCUCCUGACCGCCUUCGAUUUGACUUCACUGCCAAGGGAGCCAUGUCCACCCAACAGAUUAAGAAGGCCGAAGAAAUCGCUAAUGAGAUGAUUGAGGCAGCCAAGCCGGUCUAUACCCAGGACUGUCCACUGGCAGCAGCCAAAGCCAUCCAGGGCCUGCGGGCUGUGUUUGAUGAGACCUAUCCUGACCCUGUGCGAGUUGUGUCCAUUGGGGUCCCAGUGUCCGAGCUGUUGGAUGACCCCUCAGGGCCUGCUGGCUCCCUCACUUCUGCUGAGUUCUGCAGAGGAACGCAUCUGCGGAACUCAAGUCAUGCAGGAGCUUUUGUGAUUGUGACAGAAGAAGCUAUUGCCAAGGGUAUCUGCAGGAUCAUUGCCAUCACAGGUGCUGAAGCCCAGAAGGCCCUCAGGAAGGCAGAGAGCUUAAAGAAAUCUCUCUCCACCAUGGAGUCCAAAGUGAAUGCCCAGACCACACCAAACAAGGAUGUACAGAAGGAGAUUGCUGACCUUGGUGAGGCCCUGGCCACCGCGGUUAUUCCCCAGUGGAAGAAGGAUGAACUUCGGGAGACUCUGAAAUCCCUAAAGAAGGUCCUGGAUGACCUAGACCAAGCCAGCAAGGCUGACCUCCAGAAGCGAGUGUUGGAGAGGACAAAGCAGCUCAUCGACAGCAACCCCAACCAGCCCCUGGUCAUCCUGGAGAUGGAGAGUGGUGCC